UGGCGCCCAACAUGGGGCUCAAGAACAGGGACUUAGUGAGGGACGCUGUUUGUGGGCCCAAAGUAGAAAAAGGAAAAGGAAAAGGAGGACCGACAUGGGAGCCUGCCACACCGCUGAACUUCAGUAAGUGAACAGUGAUUAUGGAACAAGAAAUUAGCCAGCAUGAGAUUUUUGUUGAAAGUUUAAAAAAGCUUUAAAGAUGCAAAGGGUAAAGGAAAAAAAAAUUUAGCAAUUGUGUCCAUUAGGACAA
This is a regulatory RNA element of Cavia porcellus (domestic guinea pig), 250 nucleotides long. It matches the Rfam family "Mason-Pfizer monkey virus packaging signal". From Rfam's summary of the family: The packaging signal is located in the 5' UTR and is required for specific RNA encapsidation. Lineage: Eukaryota; Metazoa; Chordata; Mammalia; Rodentia; Caviidae. The record is from Rfam.